RNAcentral lists this transfer RNA (64 nucleotides) under Libnetis granicollis. RNAcentral's name for it is "tRNA-Val". The record is from RNAcentral. Lineage: Eukaryota; Metazoa; Arthropoda; Insecta; Coleoptera; Lycidae.
CAAAUAGUAGCUUAAGGAAAGUAUUUUAUUUACAUUAAAAAGUUUAUUUUAUAAUAAUAUUUGA